This 8588-nucleotide long non-coding RNA is filed under the name Mytilus galloprovincialis (Mediterranean mussel). Lineage: Eukaryota; Metazoa; Mollusca; Bivalvia; Mytilida; Mytilidae. The record is from RNAcentral.
UUGUAUGAUCUAUUAACUGGAGUUUUAAAUUAACUAAAGCAAUGUUUUGCAACACCUAUAUGUUACUAUCUUUUUUGAAAUGUGACUGAUAUAUUUGUCGCUGGACAUGAAGCAGCUACAUCUAAUAAAACGUGUUCAUCAAUGCCUUGUAGUAUUGAUUGAUUUAUUAAGAAACAUAAAUUAUAAUAUCAGUUUGUACUUGUUUCAAACAAGUAUAUGACUAAGAAGUGUCAGAAGAUUUAAAAGAAAGGUAGGGAGGGUACAGCAUCAGUAAUAGAGGGCCUGUGUUUAAAGGUCUUUGUGUCCAUCACUAUUUUAGUGUGGAGACCUUUAAGUAUAAACUUUAUAAAGUUUUAACUUUAUAUUUUAAGUUACACUAGUCAGUUCGUUGUUUAACUUUAGGACGACACCUUUAUAUAUAGAAUUUUUUGUUUCUUACUACGAAAGGGUGUGGUUUAUGACCAAGGAUUGCAAAAUUUCGGAGAAUGUAUCGCGCAGUCAUUAUUUGGAUGCAUCAUUCGGUAGCUAAGUAGACAUGUCGUUGGGAAGCACAAUUGUGAUACACUGACUGUGUCUGUAAAGAUUAUAUGCGCAAAAUGUCAAUAGAGUUACGUCCCUGCUAAACUGAAGUCUGUAGGUUUCAGCUCUGGAGUUCCCAGUGAAGACAUGUUUUUUGUUUUUUUUUUUUUUUUUUGGCAAACACACAUUUUUUUAAGAUUUACAGUUACUAAAUAAAACAAAAGUUGAAAUCUGUAGUACAUCUUAACACAAACUCGUGUGCUUACUUAUUAUGAACUGCUUAAUGACAUGAAAUAUAAAGUCAUUUAGACACAUGGGAAAAGUCGCACUUUUAAAAACAACGAUUUUUACGCUGAUUAAGUAGACAGAGUUGCCUUUCAUACAUUUUUGACACUUCAUCCCACAAUGCCAUCCGAAAAAGUUCAAAUUUAAAGAAAUGAUGAUACACAUCACUAUCAAACAAAUAACUUAUAAUGUUAAGCUAUACAUUUUCACAUAAAAGACACAGUAUACUUAUAGUUUACAUUCAUAAAACUGUCAGGAACUAUAUUUAUAGACAACCAAUAUACGAGUGACCAAACAGGUCGUUUUUGAAGAAAGAAAAAUAUCCUUGCUUUUUUUUUCUAUUAAGUCCUUUGGUCUUCUCUUCUGCAUUUUCUCACUUUAUUAUACAUAUGCAAUAACAUUUUUAACUGCAUGUUUGCAAAUAUAUAGUGUGCAACAAACAGAUUGUGGGGUAAACGUCAAUGAGACAGCAACCUAGCGACAAAAAUAUGCAAACGACAUGUGCACGCUGAACGGAGAAAAGGAGAUGCGAGUUUCCCUCAAUGAGACAGCAUCCCAACGACUACAGAUAUAUAUAUGAAUGACAUAUUCACUUUGCUGAUGCUACCAUUUGUUUGGGUUUUUUUUCAAGCUGUUUUUUUUUUUUUUUUGCUGAUAAAAAAAAACUGUCCGCAAUGACAAAGCCAGUAGUGAUGAAAGUGGCAUUAAACACCAAAAAAGCAAUAAAAUAAAUCAGGGUUUAUCAAGACCCUUUCCUACACCGUAUUUGGUUUGGUAAACAAGAAUCCGUUGAAGGGAUUUUAAAUUGACUAAGGCAAUGUUUUGCAACACAUACAUGUAUUAUGACUGAUAUAUUUGUCGCUGGACAUGAAGCAGAUUCAUCGAUGAUUAAAAGUUCUUCUUGAAUGCUUUGUAUGAUCUAUUAACUGGAGUUUUAAAUUAACUAAAGCAAUGUUUUGCAACACCUAUAUGUUACUAUCUUUUUUGAAAUGUGACUGAUAUAUUUGUCGCUGGACAUGAAGCAGCUACAUCUAAUAAAAUGUGUUCAUCAAUGCCUUGUAGUAUUGAUUGAUUUAUUAAGAAACAUAAAUUAUAAUAUCAGUUUGUACUUGUUUCAAACAAGUAUAUGACUAAGAAGUGUCAGAAGAUUUAAAAGAAAGGUAGGGAGGGUACAGCAUCAGUAAUAGAGGGCCUGUGUUUAAAGGUCUUUGUGUCCAUCACUAUUUUAGUGUGGAGACCUUUAAGUAUAAACUUUAUAAAGUUUUAACUUUAUAUUUUAAGUUACACUAGUCAGUUCGUUGUUUAACUUUAGGACGACACCUUUAUAUAUAGAAUUUUUUUGUCUUACUACGAAAGGGUGUGGUUUAUGACCAAGGAUUGCAAAAUUUCGGAGAAUGUAUCGCGCAGUCAUUAUUUGGAUGCAUCAUUCGGUAGCUAAGUAGACAUGUCGUUGGGAAGCACAAUUGUGAUACACUGACUGUGUCUGUAAAGAUUCUAUGCGCAAAAUGGCAAUAGAGUUACGUCCCUGCUAAACUGAAGUCUGUAGGUUUCAGCUCUGGAGUUCCCAGUGAAGACAUAUUUUUUUUUUUUUUUUUUUUUUGGCAAACACACACAUUUUUUAAGAUUUACAGUUACUAAAUAAAACAAAAGUUGAAAUCUGUAGUACAUCUUAACACAAACUCGUGUGCUUACUUAUUAUGAACUGCUUAAUGACAUGAAAUAUAAAGUCAUUUAGACACAUGGGAAAAGUCGCACUUUUAAAACAACGAUUUUUACGCUGAUUAAGUAGACAGAGUUGCCUUUCAUACAUUUUUGACACUUCAUCCCACAAUGCAAUCCGAAAAAGUUCAAAUUUCAAGAAAUGAUGAUACAUAUCACUAUCAAACAAAUAACUUAUAAUGUUAAGCUAUACAUUUUCACAUAAAAGACACAGUAUACUUAUAGUUUACAUUCAUAAAACUGUCAGGAACUAUAUUUAUAGACAACCAAUAUACGAGUGACCAAACAGGUCGUUUUUGAAGAAAGAAAAAUAUCCUUGCUUUUUUUUUCUAUUAAGUCCUUUGGUCUUCUCUUCUGCAUUUUCUCACUUUAUUAUACAUAUGCAAUAACAUUUUUAACUGCAUGUUUGCAAAUAUAUAGUGUGCAACAAACAGAUUGUGGGGUAAACGUCAAUGAGACAGCAACCUAGCGACAAAAAUAUGCAAAACGACAUGUGCACGCUGAACGGAGAAAAGGAGAUGCGAGUUUCCCUCAAUGAGACAGCAUCCCAACGACUACAGAUAUAUAUGAAUGACAUAUUCACUUUGCUGAUGCUACCAUUUGUUUGGGUUUUUUUUCAAGCUGUUUUUUUUUUUUUUUUUUGCUGAUAAAAAAAACCUGUCCGCAAUGACAAAGCCAGUGGUGAUGAAAGUGGCAUUAAACACCAAAAAAGCAAUAAAAUAAAUCAGGGUUUAUCAAGACCCUUUCCUACACCGUAUUUGGUUUGGUAAACAAGAAUCCGUUGAAGGGAUUUUAAAUUGACUAAGGCAAUGUUUUGCAACACAUACAUGUACUAUCUUCUUGUAUUAUGACUGAUAUAUUUGUCGCUGGACAUGAAGCAGAUUCAUCGAUGAUUAAAAGUUCUUCUUGAAUGCUUUGUAUGAUCUAUUAACUGGAGUUUUAAAUUAACUAAAGCAAUGUUUUGCAACACCUAUAUGUUACUAUCUUUUUUGAAAUGUGACUGAUAUAUUUUGUCGCUGGACAUGAAGCAGCUACAUCUAAUAAAAUGUGUUCAUCAAUGCCUUGUAGUAUUGAUUGAUUUAUUAAGAAACAUAAAAUUAUAAUAUCAGUUUGUACUUGUUUCAAACAAGUAUAUGACUAAGAAGUGUCAGAAGAUUUAAAAGAAAGGUAGGGAGGGUACAGCAUCAGUAAUAGAGGGCCUGUGUUUAAAGGUCUUUGUGUCCAUCACUAUUUUAGUGUGGAGACCUUUAAGUAUAAACUUUAUAAAGUUUUAACUUUAUAUUUUAAGUUACACUAGUCAGUCGUUGUUAAACUUUAGGACGACACCUUUAUAUAUAGAAUUUUUUUUCUUACUACGAAAGGGUUGUGUUUUAUGACCAAGGAUUGCAAAAAUUUCGGAGAAUGUAUCGCGCAGUCAUUAUUUGGAUGCAUCAUUCGGUAGCUAAGUAGACAUGUCGUUGGGAAGCACAAUUGUGAUACACUGACUGUGUCUGUAAAGAUUCUAUGCGCAAAAUGGCAAUAGAGUUACGUCCCUGCUAAACUGAAGUCUGUAGGUUUCAGCUCUGGAGUUCCCAGUGAAGACAUAUUUUUUUUUUUUUUUUGUUUUUUUGGCAAACACACAUUUUUUAAGAUUUACAGUUACUAAAUAAAACAAAAGUUGAAAUCUGUAGUACAUCUUAACACAAACUCGUGUGCUUACUUAUUAUGAACUGCUUAAUGACAUGAAAUAUAAAGUCAUUUAGACACAUGGGAAAAGUCGCACUUUUAAAACAACGAUUUUUUACGCUGAUUAAGUAGACAGAGUUGCCUUUCAUACAUUUUUGACACUUCAUCCCACAAUGCAAUCCGAAAAAGUUCAAAUUUCAAGAAAUGAUGAUACAUAUCACUAUCAAACAAAUAACUUAUAAUGUUAAGCUAUACAUUUUCACAUAAAAGACACAGUACUUAUAGUUUACAUUCAUAAAACUGUCAGGAACUAUAUUUAUAGACAACCAAUAUACGAGUGACCAAACAGGUCGUUUUUGAAGAAAGAAAAAUAUCCUUGCUUUUUUUUUCUAUUAAGUCCUUUGGUCUUCUCUUCUGCAUUUCUCUCACUUUAUUAUACAUAUGCAAUAACAUUUUUAACUGCAUGUUUGCAAAUAUAUAGUGUGCAACAAACAGAUUGUGGGGUAAACGUCAAUGAGACAGCAACCUAGCGACAAAAAUAUGCAAACGACAUGUGCACGCUGAACGGAGAAAAGGAGAUGCGAGUUUCCCUCAAUGAGACAGCAUCCCAACGACUACAGAUAUAUAUGAAUGACAUAUUCACUUUGCUGAUGCUACCAUUUGUUUGGUUUUUUUUCAAGCUGUUUUUUUUUUUUUUUUUUGCUGAUAAAAAAAAAACUGUCCGCAAUGACAAAGCCAGUGGUGAUGAAAGUGGCAUUAAACACCAAAAAAGCAAUAAAAUAAAUCAGGGUUUAUCAAGACCCUUUCCUACACCGUAUUUGGUUUGGUAAACAAGAAUCCGUUGAAGGGAUUUUAAAUUGACUAAGGCAAUGUUUUGCAACACAUACAUGUACUAUCUUCUAUUAGACUGAUAUAUUUGUCGCUGGACAUGAAGCAGAUUCAUCGAUGAUUAAAAGUUCUUCUUGAAUGCUUUGUAUGAUCUAUUAACUGGAGUUUUAAAUUAACUAAAGCAAUGUUUUGCAACACCUAUAUGUUACUAUCUUUUUUGAAAUGUGACUGAUAUAUUUGUCGCUGGACAUGAAGCAGCUACAUCUAAUAAAAUGUGUUCAUCAAUGCCUUGUAGUAUUGAUUGAUUUAUUAAGAAACAUAAAUUAUAAUAUCAGUUUGUACUUGUUUCAAACAAGUAUAUGACUAAGAAGUGUCAAAGAUUUAAAAGAAAGGUAGGGAGGGUACAGCAUCAGUUAGAGGGCCUGUGUUUAAAGGUCUUUGUGUCCAUCACUAUUUUAGUGUGGAGACCUUUAAGUAUAAACUUAUUAAAGUUUUAAUUUAUAUUUUAAGUUCGUUGUUUAACUUUAGGACGACACCUUUAUAUAUAGAAUUUUUUUUCUUACUACGAAAGGGUGUGUUUUAUGACCAAGGAUUGCAAAAUUUCGGAGAAUGUAUCGCGCAGUCAUUAUUUGGAUGCAUCAUUCGGUAGCUAAGUAGACAUGUCGUUGGGAAGCACAAUUGUGAUACACUGACUGUGUCUGUAAAGAUUCUAUGCGCAAAAUGGCAAUAGAGUUACGUCCCUGCUAAACUGAAGUCUGUAGGUUUCAGCUCUGGAGUUCCCAGUGAAGACAUAUUUUUUUUUUUUUUUUUUUUUUUUGGCAAACACACAUUUUUUAAGAUUUACAGUUACUAAAUAAAACAAAAGUUGAAAUCUGUAGUACAUCUUAACACAAACUCGUGUGCUUACUUAUUAUGAACUGCUUAAUGACAUGAAAUAUAAAGUCAUUUAGACACAUGGGAAAAGUCGCACUUUUAAAACAACGAUUUUUACGCUGAUUAAGUAGACAGAGUUGCCUUUCAUACAUUUUUGACACUUCAUCCCACAAUGCAAUCCGAAAAAGUUCAAAUUUCAAGAAAUGAUGAUACACAUCACUAUCAAACAAAUAACUUAUAAUGUUAAGCUAUACAUUUUCACAUAAAAGACACAGUAUACUUAUAGUUUACAUUCAUAAAUAUGUCAGGAACUAUAUUUAUAGACAACCAAUAUACGAGUGACCAAACAGGUCGUUUUUGAAGAAAGAAAAAUAUAUCCUUGCUUUUUUCUUUUCUAUUAAGUCCUUUGGUCUUCUCUUCUGCAUUUUCUCACUUUAUUAUACAUAUGCAAUAACAUUUUUAACUGCAUGUUUGCAAAUAUAUAGUGUGCAACAAACAGAUUGUAGGGGUAAACGUCAAUGAGACAGCAACCUAGCGACAAAAAUAUGCAAACGACAUGUGCACGCUGAACGGAGAAAAGGAGAUGCGAGUUUCCCUCAAUGAGACAGCAUCCCAACGACUACAGAUAUAUAUGAAUGACAUAUUCACUUUGCUGAUGCUACCAUUUGUUUGGGUUUUUUUCAAGCUGUUUUUUUUUUUUUUUUUUUUGCUGAUAAAAAAAAACUGUCCGCAAUGAAAAAGCCAGUAGUGAUGAAAGUGGCAUUAAACACAAACAAAAGCAAUAAAAUAAAUCAGGGUUUAUAAAGACGUUUCCUACACCGUAUUUGGUUUGGUAAACAAGAAUCCGUUGAAGGGAUUUUAAAUUGACUAAGGCAAUGUUUUGCAACACAUGUACUAUCUUUAUUAUGACUGAUAUAUUUGUCGCUGGACAUGAAGCAGAUUCAUCGAUGAUUAAAAGUUCUUCUUGAAUGCUUUGUAUGAUCUAUUAACUGGAGUUUUAAAUUAACUAAAGCAAUGUUUUGCAACACCUAUAUGUUACUAUCUUUUUUGAAAUGUGACUGAUAUAUUUGUCGCUGGACAUGAAGCAGCUACAUCUAAUAAAAUGUGUUCAUCAAUGCCUUGUAGUAUUGAUUGAUUUAUUAAGAAACAUAAAUUAUAAUAUCAGUUUGUACUUGUUUCAAACAAGUAUAUGACUAAGAAGUGUCAGAAGAUUUAAAAGAAAGGUAGGGAGGGUACAGCAUCAGUAAUAGAGGGCCUGUGUUUAAAGGUCUUUGUGUCCAUCACUAUUUUAGUGUGGAGACCUUUAAGUAUAAACUUUAUAAAGUUUUAACUUUAUAUUUUAAGUUACACUAGUCAGUUCGUUGUUAAACUUUAGGACGACACCUUUAUAUAUAGAAUUUUUUUUGUCUUACUACGAAAGGGUGUGGUUUUAUGACCAAGGAUUGCAAAAUUUCGGAGAAUGUAUCGCGCAGUCAUUAUUUGGAUGCAUCAUUCGGUAGCUAAGUAGACAUGUCGUUGGGAAGCACAAUUGUGAUACACUGACUGUGUCUGUAAAGAUUCUAUGCGCAAAAUGGCAAUAGAGUUACGUCCCUGCUAAACUGAAGUCUGUAGGUUUCAGCUCUGGAGUUCCCAGUGAAGACAUAUUUUUUUUUUUUUUUUUUUUUUUUUUGGCAAACACACAUUUUUUAAGAUUUACAGUUACUAAAUAAAACAAAAGUUGAAAUCUGUAGUACAUCUUAACACAAAACUCGUGUGCUUACUUAUUAUGAACUGCUUAAUGACAUGAAAUAUAAAGUCAUUUAGACACAUGGGAAAAGUCGCACUUUUAAAACAACGAUUUUACGCUGAUUAAGUAGACAGAGUUGCCUUUCAUACAUUUUUGACACUUCAUCCCACAAUGCAAUCCGAAAAAGUUCAAAUUUCAAGAAAUGAUGAUACAUAUCACUAUCAAACAAAUAACUUAUAAUGUUAAGCUAUACAUUUUCACAUAAAAGACACAGUACUUAUAGUUUACAUUCAUAAAACUGUCAGGAACUAUAUUUAUAGACAACCAAUAUACGAGUGACCAAACAGGUCGUUUUUGAAGAAAGAAAAAUAUCCUUGCUUUUUUUUUCUAUUAAGUCCUUUGGUCUUCUCUUCUGCAUUUUCUCACUUUAUUAUACAUAUGCAAUAACAUUUUUAACUGCAUGUUUGCAAAUAUAUAGUGUGCAACAAACAGAUUGUGGGGUAAACGUCAAUGAGACAGCAACCUAGCGACAAAAAUAUGCAAACGACAUGUGCACGCUGAACGGAGAAAAGGAGAUGCGAGUUUCCCUCAAUGAGACAGCAUCCCAACGACUACAGAUAUAUAUGAAUGACAUAUUCACUUUGCUGAUGCUACCAUUUGUUUGGGUUUUUUUCAAGCUGUUUUUUUUUUUUUUUUUUGCUGAUAAAAAAAAAACUGUCCGCAAUGACAAAGCCAGUGGUGAUGAAAGUGGCAUUAAACACCAAAAAAAGCAAUAAAAUAAAUCAGGGUUUAUCAAGACCCUUUCCUACACCGUAUUUGGUUUGGUAAACAAGAAUCCGUUGAAGGGAUUUUAAAUUGACUAAGGCAAUGUUUUGCAACACAUACAUGUACUAUCUUCUUGUAUUAUGACUGAUAUAUUUGUCGCUGGACAUGAAGCAGAUUCAUCGAUGAUUAAAAGUUCUUCUUGAAUGCU